Molecule: ribosomal RNA, 497 nt
Filed under: Eimeria alabamensis
Lineage: Eukaryota; Apicomplexa; Conoidasida; Eucoccidiorida; Eimeriidae
Description: SSU rRNA
Rfam family: Eukaryotic small subunit ribosomal RNA
Source: RNAcentral
UAUUCCAGCUCCAAUAGUGUAUAUUAGAGUUGUUGCAGUUAAAAUGCCCGUAGUUGGAUUUCUGCUGUGGUCAUCCGGUACCGCCCGUACGGGUGCGCACCUGGUUUGGCUGCGGCUUUCUUCCUGUAGCCGUCCGCGCUUAAUUGCGUGUGUUGUGUUGCGGAACUUUUACUUUGAGAAAAAUAGAGUGUUUCAAGCAGGCUUGUCGCCCUGAAUACUUCAGCAUGGAAUAAUAGGAUAGGACCUUGGUUCUAUUUUGUUGGUUUCUAGGACCAAGGUAAUGAUUAAUAGGGACAGUUGGGGGCAUUCGUAUUUAACUGUCAGAGGUGAAAUUCUUAGAUUUGUUAAAGACGAACUACUGCGAAAGCAUUUGCCAAGGAUGUUUUCAUUAAUCAAGAACGACAGUAGGGGGUUUGAAGACGAUUAGAUACCGUCGUAAUCUCUACCAUAAACUAUGCCGACUAGAGAUAGGGAAAUGCCUACCUUGGCUUCUCCUG